This 219-nucleotide unclassified non-coding RNA is filed under the name uncultured fungus. Its description in RNAcentral is "sequence contains ITS1, 5.8S rRNA gene". The stretch from base 171 to 219 matches the Rfam family "5.8S ribosomal RNA", at positions 1 to 49 of the family's 154-position model. The record is from RNAcentral. Lineage: Eukaryota; Fungi.
UUUCCGUUGGUGAACCAGCGGAGGGAUCAUUAUAGAGUUAUCUAACUCCCAAACCAUUGUGAACUUACCAUCUGUUGCCUCGGCAGAACCUACCCUGUAGCGUGCUGCCGACGGACCUCUAAACUCUUGUUAUACUAUUGUAAUCUGAGCGUCUUAUUUUAAUAAGUCAAAACUUUCAACAACGGAUCCCUUGGUUCUGGCAUCGAUGAAGAACGCAGC